This 664-nucleotide long non-coding RNA is filed under the name Chinchilla lanigera (long-tailed chinchilla). RNAcentral's name for it is "lncRNA (ENSCLAG00000028413.1)". Lineage: Eukaryota; Metazoa; Chordata; Mammalia; Rodentia; Chinchillidae. The record is from RNAcentral.
AGAAAUCCUAUUCGUGUUGCCAUUUACAGGUGAGCAAACCGGGGCUCCAAGAGGUUCAAUACAUUGGCAAAGUUCACAGAGUUAACAAGUGGCAUGAUCAGGACCCACACCCAAAGGAAUAAUGAUAAUUAUCUCCAAUCCUCAUAGGAGGUGAACCCAGUUGUGUGCUGAAGCCAGUUUAUACCAGCUCAUGAUAGUGUCCCAGCUGCUGUUAGAGUAGGACAAAGCGCUGUAAGUGCUGCGUCUGGCGUUAUGAACCAGCUGAUGUCCUGAAGCAAGGGGAAAAGCUCCCUGGAGUCCUAUGCAGACCACAGCCCAUGCGAAAGCCUGCACUACAACUUUCUGCUUUGUCUCAAGACUAAAGAUGUUGCCAGCAAUAACUCCUGGUGCCGACAUGUCUGAUGUGUGCCGCCUCCUGGAGGAGCCAAGAGACUUAGUGUCAAAGAAUACCAGUCACACCAGCCCCCAGCAACUGGACAGCUAUGAAAGAAUGGCCUCUCUUCAGUUUGUACCAGUUGCAUUUAGUGCACCCUCUGCUGGCUGGAAGUAGCAGCAAAUAACCUCCUGAGUUCAGCAUGAGAUCUGCUGGGAUAGACGGGAAAGGAAGAAAGUGGAUACGAACACAGUCCCUGCUGUAUUCCAGCCAGUGUCUCCUACAUGUCCA